GUGUGUUGGCUAUUCACAGCGAGGCUACUUAGUUUGAUUGUACGUUUUCUUAAUCUCUAUCUAUUUAGAUCCUUGCUGUGCAUGUUGGCUAUUGUAGGUUCAGAUUCACUGUUUGGGGUAGGAUGCACAUAGAUGGAAUCUAUCGAUCUUAGUAGAAAAGUAGAGUCCUAUGCGAUUCGCAAGACUAAGUUCAGAAAUCUCUGACCAGAGUAAGAAUGAAUACUGAAAAAAAAAUUCUAUAAAAUUCAUAGAUGAACUCGAGUCAAGCCAAUCUAGCAUAUGACUGACGAUGGAUUUUGAUGAGUUCUCUAUGACCUCCAUCUAGUCGGGACUCAUGAUAAAGGGAUUGUAUCACACGAUAACUGCACCUAGG
This 373-nucleotide long non-coding RNA is filed under the name Elaeis guineensis (African oil palm). RNAcentral describes it as "long non-coding RNA (EGUI_LNC057055)". Lineage: Eukaryota; Viridiplantae; Streptophyta; Magnoliopsida; Arecales; Arecaceae. The record is from RNAcentral.